AACGGCAGCACGGGAGCAAUCCUGGUGGCGAGUGGCGAACGGGUGAGUAAUAUAUCGGAACGUGCCGGUCGUGGGGGAUAACGUAGCGAAAGCUACGCUAAUACCGCAUACGAUCUACGGAUGAAANCGGGGGAUCGCAAGACCUCGCGCGAUUGGAGCGGCCGAUAUCAGAUUAGGUAGUUGGUGAGGUAAAAGGCUCACCAAGCCGACGAUCUGUAGCUGGUCUGAGAGGACGACCAGCCACACUGGGACUGAGACACGGCCCAGACUCCUACGGGAGGCAGCAGUGGGGAAUAUUGGACAAUGGGCGAAAGCCUGAUCCAGCAAUGCCGCGUGAGUGAUGAAGGCCUUAGGGUUGUAAAGCUCUUUUACCCGGGAUGAUAAUGACAGUACCGGGAGAAUAAGCUCCGGCUAACUCCGUG
Molecule: ribosomal RNA, 422 nt
Filed under: uncultured bacterium
Lineage: Bacteria
Description: bacterial SSU rRNA
Rfam family: Bacterial small subunit ribosomal RNA
Source: RNAcentral